CCACACCCAGAGCCUGACUGGCAAGGAAAGGGCGGUGGCCAUGUAAGAGUCACCAUCAGGAGGAUCCGAUCCAGGAUGCCACCUUGCACUUAGUCACCGUGUCUAUUUAUGGUGCAAUGUUGUCUUUAAGAUGGAUAACAUUGUGCUUGCAAGUCUGAAUUCUAGCAUUAAAGAUGUAUUGGUGAAGG
Long non-coding RNA from Ochotona princeps (American pika), 188 nucleotides. RefSeq lists it as uncharacterized. Lineage: Eukaryota; Metazoa; Chordata; Mammalia; Lagomorpha; Ochotonidae. The record is from RefSeq and is a predicted model, not a curated record. The transcript has 3 exons.